This 420-nucleotide ribosomal RNA is filed under the name uncultured bacterium. RNAcentral describes it as "bacterial SSU rRNA". It matches the Rfam family "Bacterial small subunit ribosomal RNA", at positions 380 to 787 of the family's 1533-position model. The record is from RNAcentral.
AGCCUGAUCCAGCCAUGCCGCGUGAGUGAAGAAGGCCUUCGGGUUGUAAGCUCUUUCGGUCCGGUAAGAAAUCGCAUGGGUCAAUACCCUGUGUGGAUGACGGUACCGGAAUAAGAAGCACCGGCUAACUACGUGCCAGCAGCCGCGGUAAUACGUAGGGUGCGAGCGUUAAUCGGAAUUACUGGGCGUAAAGCGUGCGCAGGCGGUUUUGGUAAGUCAGAUGUGAAAUCCCCCGGGCUCAACCUGGGAACUGCAUUUGAGACUGCCAAGCUGGAGUUUGGCAGGAGGGGGGGUGGAAUUCCACGUGUAGCAGUGAAAUGCGUAGAGAUGUGGAGGAACACCGAUGGCGAAGGCACGCCCCCUGGGCCAAUACUGACGCUCAUGCACGAAAGCGUGGGGAGCAAACAGGAUUAGAUACCC